UUCAUCCUUUCUGAUGAAUGAGUAUAUAGUGUGUAUGUGUAUGUAUACAUACACAUACACAUACACACUAUAUA
RNAcentral lists this microRNA precursor (74 nucleotides) under Mustela putorius furo (domestic ferret). RNAcentral describes it as "miRNA (ENSMPUG00000020763.1)". Lineage: Eukaryota; Metazoa; Chordata; Mammalia; Carnivora; Mustelidae. The record is from RNAcentral.